Gossypium raimondii (Peruvian cotton) is the source of this 106-nucleotide small nucleolar RNA. It matches the Rfam family "Plant small nucleolar RNA R71". Rfam says of the family: R71 is a member of the C/D box family of snoRNAs containing the C (UGAUGA) and D (CUGA) box motifs. Multiple nearly identical copies of this snoRNA have been identified in Arabidopsis, and it is thought to function as a 2'-O-ribose methylation guide for 18S ribosomal RNA. The record is from Rfam. Lineage: Eukaryota; Viridiplantae; Streptophyta; Magnoliopsida; Malvales; Malvaceae.
AAACCAUGGUGUGGGCCUAUUUGUAUUAGCUUUUAAAAUGCUCCUAGGCUUUGUGAAAGCUUUCUCCUUCUAGCUGUUUGAUUAUGGCGAUCUCUAUCCUUAGUUG